Molecule: long non-coding RNA, 578 nt
Organism: Peromyscus maniculatus bairdii (prairie deer mouse)
Lineage: Eukaryota; Metazoa; Chordata; Mammalia; Rodentia; Cricetidae
Source: RefSeq, a predicted model, not a curated record
AGCAGUACAGAGCUGCAGCCACUACUUCCCAGGGACCGGAUCUUUCUCCUGUGCCAGAGUGUUUUACCACUGUCUGUCACUCAGUCACCUAGUCAUUCAACAGAGACUUACAGCACACCCCCAGAGUGCCAGCCACAGGCCUGAUUUCACAGCACCUCGGCCCUUACACCUGGAAAAGCACUGUCGAUCAUUUAGAGAUGACAAAGACGGGAGCCGUAAAAGGCGAGAGUAGAGCUAUUUCAUCGUGUUAUUGUACGGCUUGCCUUUGAUGGAUCAGCCUCCGCGGAGGGGAAGGGCCUUCGGAUGGAUAAGCCUUCCUUUCCCAACAGAACAAGAAGAAGCCCCAACAGCAGAAGGACAGGAGGCUCUUUUGUCAUCUCCCCUCUCCCAUGUGACAAGCCUGGGUAUCAGGAUGCAGCAAAGAAGUAUUGCUCCUCAGGAUGACCUUGAACCUGAGUAGGAAGAUGAGUCAUUCAAAUGAUGGAAACUAGAGAACAUAAAACCAUCAUGGCCUGGUCAACCACGCACAAGGUUCCAGAGCCACCUUUCUGAGCCAAUACACUUUCUUUGUCUCUCUA